UUUGUGCCAUAUAUGCUCAAC
This 21-nucleotide non-coding RNA is filed under the name Arabidopsis thaliana (thale cress). The record is from RNAcentral. Lineage: Eukaryota; Viridiplantae; Streptophyta; Magnoliopsida; Brassicales; Brassicaceae.